This is a long non-coding RNA of Tupaia belangeri chinensis (Chinese tree shrew), 219 nucleotides long. RefSeq lists it as uncharacterized. The record is from RefSeq and is a predicted model, not a curated record. NCBI's taxonomy places the organism in Eukaryota, Metazoa, Chordata, Mammalia, Scandentia, Tupaiidae. The transcript is spliced from 3 exons.
GUGAUGCCUUUGGACUUUCCAGCCAUCAGAAAUUACACAUUCAACCUCUGCUGGCUUUGACUCCGAGCUCAGAUGAGAUCGAGUUCAAAAUAUCACAACGAUAAAAGCACAGACUCUGGUGUCAGACAGUCAGAAUUGGAAUCUCUCAUCUUCACCUACUGGCUGUGUGACCUCAGUUUCAGCCCAGGCCCUCCACAGGCUUAUCAUCAAAAUGACCAG